Long non-coding RNA from Piliocolobus tephrosceles (Ugandan red Colobus), 1553 nucleotides. Lineage: Eukaryota; Metazoa; Chordata; Mammalia; Primates; Cercopithecidae. The record is from Ensembl.
CACGUGUGUACAUAUACAUAUAUAUAUAUAUGUAUAUAUAUAUAAAUGUACAUAUAUAAAUGUACAUAUAUAAAUGUACAUAUANNNNNNNNNNCAUAUAUAAAUGUACAUAUAUAAAUGUACAUAUAUAAAUGUACAUAUUUAAAUGUGUUAAUACUGUAAUUCCUUUCAUGUGUACUUAAAUGCUUGCAAUUAUCAUAACGGGUAUAUUACAAAAGUUAAUUAUAUUUUUGAAUAAUAUUUUAAAAUUUAAUAAAAAAAAAUAUAUACAUACGUAAAAUAUAUAAAUAUAUACGUUUUUUUUUUUUUUUUUUUUUUUUUUUUNNNNNNNNNNUUUUUUUUUUUUUUUUUCUUAUAUAUAUACAUAUAUAUAUAAUAUCUUAAAUUAAAAAUGGUAUUAUUAUAUAUUUUGUAUUCAUUAGUUUUGUUUGCAGUUGCUUAUACGAAAGAAAAUAUAAACAACCAGGCAGUGAACAGUCCUGUGCUUCAAUAUGGAUUUAUAAAUAAUGAACACUAUAAGCAUUAUUUACCUUCGAAGGAUUCUAAUAUACUAAAAAAUACGGAUUUAAUAACUAUAUCGUGUCAAAAGGGGUAUACAGUGGCAGUUAAAAAAGCAAUUAUAAUAGACUUGAAUGAAGAAGAAAAUGAUUAUACACAACUGAUUAAAGAAAUAUGUUCAAAGAAAGCACAGUGCAAGAUCGAUGUUAGACAAUUCAAAAUUAAAAUUAAACACAAUGCUAUUGACGCUACCUCCGAACUAAUACUAGACUAUAUCUGUAUAAGUUCCGAGAAUAACCUAUAUGAUGGAAGGAGCUUUCAUCAAGGAAUUACUCAAAAAUAUUUAACAGUAAGAGACCGAACAAUAGCAUGUGUUCAAAAUAGUGAGAAUGUCGAAAAGAUGUUAUCAAUUUCAAAGGCUUUGGAAAAGUGUUCCAAAAAUAAUUGCACUUACGUUGUAUGGAAUGCUGAAGAAAAAAAAGCAGUCAUUUGUUAUGAAAAUAAUUCACAUGAUUUGAUUGAAAAGAAGAAUAAUAUAACAUAUAUUAAUCCUACAUUUUUUUAUACUUAUGGAUUUGCAACUUUUCUGAAUUACAUGUCUAUAUGUGAAAACGUUGUAAAAAGCGUGCCCUACAAUUUAAGUAUGGGAAAAUCAGUUGACGUAUGUUCUCACUUGGAUUGUGCUUACUUUACAAAAAGUUACGCAGGGUCUAUAAGAUCAUUAAAUAACAAUAACAGUGGAAAAUCUUGGUUUUGCAAAGGGUACUUUUUUAAAAAAGGGAAACACAAAUUCAUACAUGCGUACAUCCCUCCCUUUAUACAUAUAUAUAUAUAUAUACAUUUUUUUUUAUAUAGUUUCCCAACUAUUGUGCCAAUGGAUGGAUUUAUCACGUCUGUGAAUUUAAGAAAAUUCAAUUAAAAGAAACUUUCUUAUUAUUUUUUUUAUUAUUUUUUAUUUUAUUUUAUUCUGUUUUUUUUUUUUUUUUUGUAUUUGUCUUUGUGUCAUGUUGUGUUUUUGUCUACCGAAUAAAUAAUUUUUUUAAAAAUUAUUUACA